GAGGGAAAGAACCCACCAGGGAUUGCCUCAGUAACGGCGAGUGAAGCGGCAACAGCUCAAAUUUGAAAUCUGGCCUCUUCGGGGUCCGAGUUGUAAUUUGUAGAGGGUGUUUCGGGUGAGGCGCCGGCCUAAGUUCCUUGGAACAGGGCGUCAUAGAGGGUGAGAAUCCCGUAUGCGGCCGGCGACCAACCCCGUGUGAAACCCCUUCGACGAGUCGGGUUGUUUGGGAAUGCAGCUCUAAAUGGGUGGUAAAUUUCAUCUAAAGCUAAAUACCGGCCAGAGACCGAUAGCGCACAAGUAGAGUGAUCGAAAGAUGAAAAGCACUUUGGAAAGAGAGUUAAAAAGUACGUGAAAUUGUUGAAAGGGAAGCGCUUGCAACCAGACCUGUGUUCGGGUGAUCAGCCGCCGUUCUCGGCGGUGUAUUCGCCCGGUGCAGGCCAGCAUCGGUUCGGGCGGUCGGAUAAAGGCCUUGGGAACGUGGCUCCCCUCGGGGAGUGUUAUAGCCCUCGGUGCAAUGCGGCCAGCCUGGACCGAGGACCGCGCUUCGGCUAGGAUGCUGGCGUAAUGGUCGUAAGCGGCCCGUCUUGAAACACGGACCAAGGAGUCUAACAUCUAUGCGAGUGUUUGGGUGUCAAACCCAUGCGCGGAAUGAAAGUGAACGGAGGUGAGAACCCUGAAGGGCGCAUCAUCGACCGAUCCAGAUGUCUUCGGAUGGAUUUGAGUAAGAGCAUAGCUGUUGGGACCCGAAAGAUGAUGAACUAUGCCUGAAUAGGGUGAAGCCAGAGGAAACUCUGGUGGAGGCUCGCAGCGGUA
This 813-nucleotide ribosomal RNA is filed under the name Acolium yunnanense. RNAcentral describes it as "Acolium sp. TV-2020a partial large subunit ribosomal RNA". It matches the Rfam family "Eukaryotic large subunit ribosomal RNA", at positions 53 to 885 of the family's 3401-position model. The record is from RNAcentral. Lineage: Eukaryota; Fungi; Ascomycota; Lecanoromycetes; Caliciales; Caliciaceae.